This 443-nucleotide ribosomal RNA is filed under the name uncultured bacterium. Its description in RNAcentral is "partial 16S ribosomal RNA". It matches the Rfam family "Bacterial small subunit ribosomal RNA", at positions 338 to 795 of the family's 1533-position model. The record is from RNAcentral.
CCUACGGGAGGCAGCAGUGGGGAAUAUUGCACAAUGGGGGAAACCCUGAUGCAGCGACGCCGCGUGAGUGAAGAAGUAAUUCGUUACGUAAAGCUCUAUCAGCAGGGAAGAAGAAAGUGACGGUACCUUAGGAAUAAGCCUCGGCUAACUACGCGCCAGCAGCCGCGGUAAUACGUAGGAGGCAAGCGUUAUCCGGAAUGACUGGGCGUAAAGGGUGCGGAGGUGGUUUGAUAAGUUGGUAGCGUAACUCCGAGGCUCAACCUCGGCACUACUACCCAAACUGUCGGACUUGAGUGCAGGAGAGGCAACUGGAAUUCCUAGUGUAGCGGUGGAAUGCGUAGAUAUUAGGAGGAACACCAGUGGCGAAGGCGAGUUGCUGGACUGUAACUGACACUGAGGCACGAAAGCGUGGGGAGCAAACAGGAUUAGAUACCCUAGUAGUC